UCCCACCCUGUGUCGUUAUACCUUCGUUGCUUUGGCGGGCCGCGGGGCCCCGGCCCCGCCCCUGGCUCCGGCUAGGGCGCGCCCGCCAGAGGACCUCAAAACCUGAAUGUUAGUGUCGUCUGAGUACUAUAUAAUAGUUAAAACUUUCAACAACGGAUCUCUUGGUUCUGGCAUCGAUGAAGAACGCAGCGAAAUGCGAUAAGUAAUGUGAAUUGCAGAAUUCAGUGAAUCAUCGAAUCUUUGAACGCACAUUGCGCCCCUUGGUAUUCCGGGGGGCAUGCCUGUUCGAGCGUCAUUACAACCCUCAAGCUCUGCUUGGUCUUGGGCGUCACCGGUCCCGGUGUGCCUUAAAAUCAGUGGCGGCGCCAUCUGGCUCUAAGCGUAGUACAUACUCUCGCUACAGACGUCCGGUGGAUGCUGGCCAGCAACCCCCAACUUAUCAAGGUUGACCUCGGAUCAGGUAGGGAUACCCGCUGAACUUAAGCAUAUCAAUA
Molecule: ribosomal RNA, 494 nt
Filed under: Cryptosporiopsis sp. CJL-2014
Lineage: Eukaryota; Fungi; Ascomycota; Leotiomycetes; Helotiales; Dermateaceae
Description: eukaryotic LSU rRNA
Rfam family: 5.8S ribosomal RNA (bases 142-295)
Source: RNAcentral